Molecule: ribosomal RNA, 327 nt
Filed under: uncultured eukaryote
Lineage: Eukaryota
Description: partial 18S ribosomal RNA
Rfam family: Eukaryotic small subunit ribosomal RNA
Source: RNAcentral
CCCUUAGAUGUUCUGGGCCGCACACGCGCUACACUGAAGGAGGCAGCGUGUACACCUGGAUCGAAAGAUUUGGGUAACCCGCGAAUCUCCUUCGUGCUAGGGAUUGAGGUUUGCAAUUAUCCUUCAUGAACGAGGAAUUCCCAGUAAGUGCAAGUCAUAAGCUUGCGCUGACUACGUCCCUGCCCUUUGUACACACCGCCCGUCGCUACUACCGAUUGAAUGAUUUAGUGAGGACUUCGGACUGGGACCGAUGCGGCUUUCGGGCUGCGUCGGUAUUCUGGAAAGAUGUCCAAACUGUAUCAUUUAGAGGAAGUAAAAGUCGUAACA